ACCAGGGCCGACGAUCGGUAGCUGGUCUGAGAGGAUGUCAGCCCACACUGGGAUGAGACACGGCCCCAGCUUCCUACGGGAGGCAGAAGUGGGGAAUUUUCCGCAAUGGGCGAAAGCCUGACGGAGCAAUACCGCUGAGGGAAGAAGGCUUUUGGGUUGUAAACCUCUUUUGUCAGGGAAGAAGAAUUGACGGUACCUGAAGAAAAAGCAUCGGCUAACUCCGUGCCAGCAGCCGCGGUAAUACGGAGGAUGCAAGCGUUAUCCGGAAUCAUUGGGCGUAAAGGGUCCGCAGGUGGCGAAUAAAGUCUGCUGUUAAAGGCCGGGGCUUAACUCCGGAAAGGCAGUGGAAACUGAUUAGCUAGAGUACGGUAGGGGUAGAGGGAAUUCCCAGUGUAGCGGUGAAAUGCGUAGAUAUUGGGAAGAACACCGGUGGCGAAAGCGCUNUACUAGGCCGAAACUGACACUGAGGGACGAAAGCUAGGGUAGCGAAAGGGAUUAGAU
RNAcentral lists this ribosomal RNA (501 nucleotides) under uncultured Prochloron sp. RNAcentral describes it as "bacterial SSU rRNA". It matches the Rfam family "Bacterial small subunit ribosomal RNA", at positions 267 to 783 of the family's 1533-position model. The record is from RNAcentral. Lineage: Bacteria; Bacillati; Cyanobacteriota; Cyanophyceae; Chroococcales; Prochloraceae.